This 438-nucleotide ribosomal RNA is filed under the name uncultured bacterium. Its description in RNAcentral is "partial 16S ribosomal RNA". It matches the Rfam family "Bacterial small subunit ribosomal RNA", at positions 339 to 795 of the family's 1533-position model. The record is from RNAcentral.
CUACGGGCUGCACCAGUGGGGAAUCUUGCGCAAUGGGCGAAAGCCUGACGCAGCAACGCCGCGUGCGGGAUGAAGGCCUUCGGGCUGUAAACCGCUUUCAGCAGGAACGAAAAUGACGGUACCUGCAGAAGAAGGAGCGGCCAACUACGUGCCAGCAGCCGCGGUGACAGUAGGCUCCAAGCGUUGUCCGGUUUAUUGGGCGUAAAGAGCUCGUAGGCGGUUGAGUAAGUCGGGUGUGAAAACUCUGGGCUUAACCCGGAGACGCCAUCCGAUACUGCUCUGACUAGAGUUCAGGAGGGGAGUGGGGAAUUCCUAGUGUAGCGGUGAAAUGCGCAGAUAUUAGGAGGAACACCGGUGGCGAAGGCGCCACUCUGGACUGAAACUGACGCUGAGGAGCGAAAGCAUGGGUAGCAAACAGGAUUAGAUACCCCUGUAGUC